RNAcentral lists this ribosomal RNA (294 nucleotides) under uncultured bacterium. RNAcentral's name for it is "partial 16S ribosomal RNA". It matches the Rfam family "Bacterial small subunit ribosomal RNA", at positions 775 to 1067 of the family's 1533-position model. The record is from RNAcentral.
GGAUUAGAUACCCUGGUAGUCCACGCCCUAAACGAUGUCAACUAGCUGUUGGGGAAAUUAAGUUCCUUAGUAGCGUAGCUAACGUGAUAAGUUGACCGCCUGGGGAGUACGGCCGCAAGGUUAAAACUCAAAUGAAUUGACGGGGGCCCGCACAAGCGGUGGAGCAUGUGGUUUAAUUCGAUGCAACGCGAAGAACCUUACCUGGUCUUGACAUCCCGCGAACUUAGCAGAGAUGCUUUGGUGCCUUCGGGAACGCGGAGACAGGUGCUGCAUGGCUGUCGUCAGCUCGUGUCG